Molecule: ribosomal RNA, 497 nt
Filed under: uncultured bacterium
Lineage: Bacteria
Description: partial 16S ribosomal RNA
Rfam family: Bacterial small subunit ribosomal RNA
Source: RNAcentral
GAUGAACGCUGGCGGCGUGCUUAAUACAUGCAAGUCGAGCGAACAGACGAUGAUUUUGCUCCUCUGACGUUAGCGGCGGACGGGUGAGAAACACGUGGAUCACCUACCUAUAAGACUGGGAUCACUUGGGGACACCGGAGCAAAUCCCGGAUAAUCUCUUGAACCGCAUGGUUGAAUAGUAAAAGACGGUUUUGCUGUCUCUUCUAGAUGGAUCCGCGCCGCUUUAGCUAGUUGGUACGGUAACGGCUUACCAAGGCGAGUAUGCGUAGGCGACCUGAGAGAGGGGUAGGCGACAUGGGAAGGUGGACACGGACCAGACGCCUACGGGAGGCAGCAGUAGGGAAUGGUCCGCAAAGGGCGAAAGCAUGGCGGAACGACGCCACGUGAGUGAUGAAAGUGCUCGGAGCGGAAAACUCGGUUAUGAGUGAAGAACAAAUGUGUAAGGAACUGUGCACGGCUUGACGGUACCGAGUCAAAAAGCCACGGCUAACUACGUG